This 1215-nucleotide long non-coding RNA is filed under the name Rhinopithecus bieti (black snub-nosed monkey). Its description in RNAcentral is "lncRNA (ENSRBIG00000045668.1)". The record is from RNAcentral. Lineage: Eukaryota; Metazoa; Chordata; Mammalia; Primates; Cercopithecidae.
UGUAAAUAGUGUGUUAGUCUGCUGACUCUCUGUACUAAUUUUAAUCAACUCUGCAUUGCUAUUGCCUUUCCAGGAAGUCUCAGACUGAAAUCUCCCAGAUUGUAACAGAUUGGAUCUCAUUGAUUUAGAUGAAGAAAAGGUUCGAAUAAAUAUACAGAACUAAAGUGUUUCAUUCUAGAGGACUGCUUGAAACUGAAUGCAGGAGUCCUGCUUUCCUUUCAGACCCAGCAAACACCCUAAGAAAAUCAAGGAAAUCUUUUCCUACCCUGCAAGGUCUAUGAGAAGUUACUAGUCCACAAGUCCAGAUCACCAGCAUGUCACAGAAUUACAUCAGAGUUACCAAAGCUGUUGAUGUUAUGCAACUGGACUGUGGAGAGAGUAGGAAGACAUUCAAUGUAUCCAAAUCCAGCCAAAUGAGUAAUACACCAAGCAAACCUCCAUUUAUAACUGCCUGUCAAGGAUGCUGACUAGGUUUCAUCGGGACAUGGUAUAUCAGCUUCUGUUUUUAGGACGGCUGUUCAGAUUGUGUCUGCCAGUUGUCAUUUGAGGAGUAGACAUAGAAGAAAUUCCUGCUGAAGUGGCAGUAAAAAUGAUCCAUAAACCUGCUGCUGAUCCUUAACCUUCUGCAUCCAUUCUAAGAGGAUUCCUCGCACAGAGCUAAUCCUUCAAAAUCUUCUUUUUAUGUGCUUUUGAAACACACCAACAACCAUGUGAGACUGAGCCUACUAUUUCCAGAAAAAUUUUCAAGAACAAAGUGGUUCAGAAUUAAAGUAAGUGUGUAAAGACAAAGAGAUGUAAUUGAAUAUACACUUUGUUCUCAGAGUGAUGUUAAUUAUCCUGUGGGAUAUACUAAAAUAAGGUUAUAUUCUACGUUAAAGAACUAGACAUCUACAUUAAGGAAAAUAAAAAGAAAAUAAACACCGACAGCAUACAAGGCAGCGUUUGCAAAUGCUAUCCACUGCUGCCUUCUAUAGAACCACAUUGACAUUCUUCAUCCUUAUAUUCUGUCUUCACUGUUUCUGCCCAAACCACCACUAAACAGGGCAAGCUCUAUUCCACCUACAGUUUGGGUCUAUAAUGAGUCUUACUGCCAUAGAUCCUGUAGUUAAUGUGCUUGGUGCCUUCUCUACAAACGGUUCUCUUUGCCACUGUUCUCCCAACUCCACUUGUAUUAAACUCUUGUUAAACAAAUUUCAGUAUUCUAGUUUCCUAGAA